AAGUCGUAACAAGGUAACCGUAGGUGAACCUGCGGUUGGAUCAUUAAAAAUUUUAAUAGCCUCUCAUUGUUAGUGUAAGUGGGAUACCGCCGAAAGCAAUGAAUGUUGGCACCACAUUUUGUGCACUGUAACGUCUUUGGUGGUUGGGCGGUUUGUCUUUUUGUGACACUCUCGUCUGUCAGCUUGGGUUUAUCAUAAUCCUCGCCGUGGACACGCCACCGUUUGUCUUUCAACCUAUGUUUUCAUGAAUUGUCUGACUACUUGUAUUUAAAAUAUACAAACAACUUUUGGCAACGGAUCUCUUGGUUCUC
RNAcentral lists this unclassified non-coding RNA (311 nucleotides) under Spizellomyces dolichospermus. RNAcentral describes it as "partial internal transcribed spacer region". The stretch from base 1 to 46 matches the Rfam family "Eukaryotic small subunit ribosomal RNA", at positions 1786 to 1831 of the family's 1831-position model. RNAcentral also lists the same sequence under 1 other name. The record is from RNAcentral. Lineage: Eukaryota; Fungi; Chytridiomycota; Chytridiomycetes; Spizellomycetales; Spizellomycetaceae.